This 253-nucleotide ribosomal RNA is filed under the name uncultured bacterium. Its description in RNAcentral is "partial 16S ribosomal RNA". It matches the Rfam family "Bacterial small subunit ribosomal RNA", at positions 524 to 776 of the family's 1533-position model. The record is from RNAcentral.
UACGUAGGGUGCUAGCGUUGUCCGGAUUUAUUGGGCGUAAAGAGCUCGUAGGCGGCUUGUCGCGUCGACUGUGAAAACCUGGGGCUUAACUCCGGGCCUGCAGCCGAUACGGGCAAGCUAGAGUUCGGUAGGGGCAGAGGGAAUUUCCGGUGGAGCGGUGAAAUGCAUUGAGAUCGGAAAGAACACCAACGGCGAAAGCACUCUGCUGGGCCGACACUGACACUGAGAGACGAAAGCUAGGGGAGCAAAUGGG